Prinia subflava (tawny-flanked prinia) is the source of this 389-nucleotide long non-coding RNA. RefSeq lists it as uncharacterized. Lineage: Eukaryota; Metazoa; Chordata; Aves; Passeriformes; Cisticolidae. The record is from RefSeq and is a predicted model, not a curated record. The transcript is spliced from 4 exons.
GCGGGCCGCUUCCGGCACCGGCAGGCAACGGGCGAGGGGCGCGCGCGGGGCGUGCCGGGAAAUGUAGUUCAGUAUGGAUGUGGGGGAGCGGCGGCCAGGACAGGUGCAGGUGGUGUUUGUGUGCCCCACGUCCUGCAGUGUGUGAGAGGAGCUGGGAACAAGGUCUCCUGACAUGGAUAAAUCUGGAGCAUUCAGGGAGUGGAUGGAGCAGAGCCUUCUGUGCCAGCCAGACUUGAUGAAUCAUCGGGCCAUGCUGUCACUGGUGGAAGUGCACCAGAUGGAGGAGCAGCCACCAGCGAUCCCCCAGGAACCUCCUGGGGCUGGGAUGAGAACUGGGGUGGAACUCAGCCCCUGGAGAGGCUCUGCAGGGCCCCUGGGCCACGGGACCG